GAUGAACGCUGGCGGCGUGCCUAAUACAUGCAAGUCGAACGAACGGACGAGAAGCUUGCUUCUCUGAUGUUAGCGGCGGACGGGUGAGUAACACGUGGAUAACCUACCUAUAAGACUGGGAUAACUUCGGGAAACCGGAGCUAAUACCGGAUAAUAUUUUGAACCGCAUGGUUCAAAAGUGAAGGACGGUCUUGCUGUCACUUAUAGAUGGAUCCGCGCUGCAUUAGCUAGUUGGUAAGGUAACGGCUUACCAAGGCAACGAUGCAUAGCCGACCUGAGAGGGUGAUCGGCCACACUGGAACUGAGACACGGUCCAGACUCCUACGGGAGGUAGCAGUAGGGAAUCUUCCGCAAUGGGCGAAAGCCUGACGGAGCAACGCCGCGUGAGUGAUGAAGGUCUUCGGAUCGUAAAACUCUGUUAUUAGGGAAGAACAUAUGUGUAAGUAACUGUGCACAUCUUGACGGUACCUAAGCAGAAAGCCACGGCUAACUACGU
This 496-nucleotide ribosomal RNA is filed under the name uncultured bacterium. Its description in RNAcentral is "partial 16S ribosomal RNA". It matches the Rfam family "Bacterial small subunit ribosomal RNA", at positions 28 to 506 of the family's 1533-position model. The record is from RNAcentral.